GGGAGAAAGCAGGGGACCUUCGGGCCUUGCGCUAUCAGAUGAGCCUAGGUCGGAUUAGCUAGUUGGUGGGGUAAUGGCUCACCAAGGCGACGAUCCGUAACUGGUCUGAGAGGAUGAUCAGUCACACUGGAACUGAGACACGGUCCAGACUCCUACGGGAGGCAGCAGUGGGGAAUAUUGGACAAUGGGCGAAAGCCUGAUCCAGCCAUGCCGCGUGUGUGAAGAAGGUCUCCGGAUUGUAAAGCACUUUAAGUUGGGAGGAAGGGCAGUAAAUUAAUACUUUGCUGUUUUGACGUUACCGACAGAAUAAGCACCGGCUAACUCUGUGCCAGCAGCCGCGGUAAUACAGAGGGUGCAAGCGUUAAUCGGAAUUACUGGGCGUAAAGCGCGCGUAGGUGGUUCGUUAAGUUGGAUGUGAAAUCCCCGGGCUCAACCUGGGAACUGCAUUCAAAACUGACGAGCUAGAGUAUGGUAGAGGGUGGUGGAAUUUCCUGUGUAGCGGUGAAAUGCGUAGAUAUAGGAAGGAACACCAGUGGCGAAGGCGACCACCUGGACUGAUGCUGACACUGAGGUGCGAAAGCGUGGGGAGCAAACAGGAUUA
This 601-nucleotide ribosomal RNA is filed under the name uncultured Pseudomonas sp. RNAcentral's name for it is "bacterial SSU rRNA". It matches the Rfam family "Bacterial small subunit ribosomal RNA", at positions 198 to 780 of the family's 1533-position model. Lineage: Bacteria; Pseudomonadati; Pseudomonadota; Gammaproteobacteria; Pseudomonadales; Pseudomonadaceae. The record is from RNAcentral.